UUUAGAAAUGAAGAUUAAUACCCUAUAGUCUAUUUGAAUGGCAUCAUUUGAAAUAGUAAAGGUUACGGUACAAGAUGAGUAUGCGUCCUAUUAGUUUGUUGGUAAGGUAACGGCUUACCAAGACUACGAUAGGUAGGGGCCCUGAGAGGGGGAUCCCCCACACUGGUACUGAGACACGGACCAGACUCCUACGGGAGGCAGCAGUGAGGAAUAUUGGACAAUGGGCGAGAGCCUGAUCCAGCCAUGCCGCGUGCAGGAAGACGGCCCUAUGGGUUGUAAACUGCUUUUAAACAGGAAGAAACACUCCCUCGUGAGGGAGCUUGACGGUACUGUAAGAAUAAGGACCGGCUAACUCCGUGCCAGCAGCCGCGGUAAUACGGAGGGUCCGAGCGUUAUCCGGAAUCAUUGGGUUUAAAGGGUCCGUAGGCGGGCAGCUCAGUCAGUGGUGAAAGUUUGCAGCUCAACUGUAAAAAUUGCCAUUGAUACUGGUUGUCUUGAAAUUAUUAUGAAAGUGGUUAGAAUAAGUAGUGUAGCGGUGAAAAUGCAAUAGAUAUUACUUAGAAUACCAGAUUGCGAAGGGCAGAUCACUAAUAAUAUAUUGACGCUGAUGGACGAAAGCGUGGGGAGCGAGUGAGGAUUAGAUACCCUGGUAGUCCACGCCGUAAACGAUGGAUACUAGCUGUUCGGUAGCAAUACUGAGUGGCUAAGCGAGAGUGAUAAGUAUCCCACCUGGGGAGUACGUUGGCAAGAGUGAAACUCAAAGGAAUUGACGGGG
This 775-nucleotide ribosomal RNA is filed under the name uncultured bacterium. RNAcentral describes it as "bacterial SSU rRNA". It matches the Rfam family "Bacterial small subunit ribosomal RNA", at positions 149 to 918 of the family's 1533-position model. The record is from RNAcentral.